RNAcentral lists this ribosomal RNA (1352 nucleotides) under uncultured bacterium. RNAcentral describes it as "bacterial SSU rRNA". It matches the Rfam family "Bacterial small subunit ribosomal RNA", at positions 28 to 1381 of the family's 1533-position model. The record is from RNAcentral.
AUUGAACGCUGGCGGCAUGCCUUACACAUGCAAGUCGAACGGCAGCACGGAGCUUGCUCUGGUGGCGAGUGGCGAACGGGUGAGUAAUAUAUCGGAACGUACCCUAGAGUGGGGGAUAACGUAGCGAAAGUUACGCUAAUACCGCAUACGAUCUAAGGAUGAAAGUGGGGGAUCGCAAGACCUCAUGCUCGUGGAGCGGCCGAUAUCUGAUUAGCUAGUUGGUAGGGUAAAAGCCUACCAAGGCAUCGAUCAGUAGCUGGUCUGAGAGGACGACCAGCCACACUGGAACUGAGACACGGUCCAGACUCCUACGGGAGGCAGCAGUGGGGAAUUUUGGACAAUGGGCGAAAGCCUGAUCCAGCAAUGCCGCGUGAGUGAAGAAGGCCUUCGGGUUGUAAAGCUCUUUUGUCAGGGAAGAGACGGUGAGAGCUAAUAUCUCUUGCUAAUGACGGUACCUGAAGAAUAAGCACCGGCUAACUACGUGCCAGCAGCCGCGGUAAUACGUAGGGUGCAAGCGUUAAUCGGAAUUACUGGGCGUAAAGCGUGCGCAGGCGGUUUUGUAAGUCUGAUGUGAAAUCCCCGGGCUCAAUCUGGGAAUUGCAUUGGAGACUGCAAGGCUAGAAUCUGGCAGAGGGGGGUAGAAUUCCACGUGUAGCAGUGAAAUGCGUAGAUAUGUGGAGGAACACCGAUGGCGAAGGCAGCCCCCUGGGUCAAGAUUGACGCUCAUGCACGAAAGCGUGGGGAGCAAACAGGAUUAGAUACCCUGGUAGUCCACGCCCUAAACGAUGUCUACUAGUUGUCGGGUCUUAAUUGACUUGGUAACGCAGCUAACGCGUGAAGUAGACCGCCUGGGGAGUACGGUCGCAAGAUUAAAACUCAAAGGAAUUGACGGGGACCCGCACAAGCGGUGGAUGAUGUGGAUUAAUUCGAUGCAACGCGAAAAACCUUACCUACCCUUGACAUGGCUGGAAUCCUUGAGAGAUCAGGGAGUGCUCGAAAGAGAACCAGUACACAGGUGCUGCAUGGCUGUCGUCAGCUCGUGUCGUGAGAUGUUGGGUUAAGUCCCGCAACGAGCGCAACCCUUGUCAUUAGUUGCUACGAAAGGGCACUCUAAUGAGACUGCCGGUGACAAACCGGAGGAAGGUGGGGAUGACGUCAAGUCCUCAUGGCCCUUAUGGGUAGGGCUUCACACGUCAUACAAUGGUACAUACAGAGCGCCGCCAACCCGCGAGGGGGAGCUAAUCGCAGAAAGUGUAUCGUAGUCCGGAUUGUAGUCUGCAACUCGACUGCAUGAAGUUGGAAUCGCUAGUAAUCGCGGAUCAGCAUGUCGCGGUGAAUACGUUCCCGGGUCU